GAUGAACGCUGGCGGCGUGCUUAACACAUGCAAGUCGAGCGAAGUAAAUUAAGAGCUUGCUUUUGAUUUACUUAGCGGCGGACGGGUGAGUAACGUGUGGGUAACCUGCCUUUUACUGUGGAAUAAUCGUUGGAAACGACGACUAAUACCGCAUACGAUUUUCUGAAGGCAUCUUUGGGAAAGGAAAGGAAAUAUUCGGUAAAAGAUGGGCCCGCAUCUGAUUAGCUAGUUGGUGAGAUAAUAGCCCACCAAGGCAACGAUCAGUAGCCGACCUGAGAGGGUGACCGGCCACAUUGGGACUGAGACACGGCCCAA
This 315-nucleotide ribosomal RNA is filed under the name uncultured bacterium. RNAcentral's name for it is "bacterial SSU rRNA". It matches the Rfam family "Bacterial small subunit ribosomal RNA", at positions 28 to 334 of the family's 1533-position model. The record is from RNAcentral.